GUUAGGGUGGCAGAGCCCGGUAAUUGCAUAAAACUUAAACCUUUACUCCCGGAGGUUCAAAUCCUCCUCCUAACA
Molecule: transfer RNA, 75 nt
Filed under: Procyon lotor (raccoon)
Lineage: Eukaryota; Metazoa; Chordata; Mammalia; Carnivora; Procyonidae
Also listed under: 1 other name
Description: transfer RNA-Leu (UUR)
Rfam family: tRNA
About the family: Transfer RNA (tRNA) molecules are approximately 80 nucleotides in length. Their secondary structure includes four short double-helical elements and three loops (D, anti-codon, and T loops). Further hydrogen bonds mediate the characteristic L-shaped molecular structure. tRNAs have two regions of fundamental functional importance: the anti-codon, which is responsible for specific mRNA codon recognition, and the 3' end, to which the tRNAs corresponding amino acid is attached (by aminoacyl-tRNA synthetases). tRNAs cope with the degeneracy of the genetic code in two manners: having more than one tRNA (with a specific anti-codon) for a particular amino acid; and 'wobble' base-pairing, i.e. permitting non-standard base-pairing at the 3rd anti-codon position.
Source: RNAcentral